GCCCCAGUAGCUCAGUUAGGAUAGAGCAACGGUUUCCUAAACCGUAGGUCAGAAGUUCAAGUCUUCUCUGGGGCACCA
This 78-nucleotide transfer RNA is filed under the name Candidatus Cloacimonadota bacterium. RNAcentral describes it as "Candidatus Cloacimonetes bacterium tRNA-Arg". It matches the Rfam family "tRNA". From Rfam's summary of the family: Transfer RNA (tRNA) molecules are approximately 80 nucleotides in length. Their secondary structure includes four short double-helical elements and three loops (D, anti-codon, and T loops). Further hydrogen bonds mediate the characteristic L-shaped molecular structure. tRNAs have two regions of fundamental functional importance: the anti-codon, which is responsible for specific mRNA codon recognition, and the 3' end, to which the tRNAs corresponding amino acid is attached (by aminoacyl-tRNA synthetases). tRNAs cope with the degeneracy of the genetic code in two manners: having more than one tRNA (with a specific anti-codon) for a particular amino acid; and 'wobble' base-pairing, i.e. permitting non-standard base-pairing at the 3rd anti-codon position. RNAcentral also lists the same sequence under 1 other name. The record is from RNAcentral. Lineage: Bacteria; Pseudomonadati; Candidatus Cloacimonadota.